UGCCGAGUGAGCCUCGGCCAUAAAGCUCAGCUCCCAGCUUCUCCCUGGAAGCGUCUAGACCAGGCUUUGGGGUCUAAUUUCCGGCUCUUCCGACUGGGGCUAUAGGGUCCAGCUUCUAACUCUCCUACCUUUGGCGGCUGGCAGGGUCCUCGGCGAGCUUGGCCAGUUUCCGCCUGGUGAGACCUUGAACUCAGUAAUAACAUCACCCACCGCUGUUUUUCAGGGGGACGCGGUGCGAGCCACUGACUCGUGAGGUAGGAGAGGCUCACGGGCACUUCCGGCGUACCUCCAGCCCGCCGUCCCCUUGCUCUUCUGAGGAAAACAACGGAACGCCCACCUCUCGCUUCUUCCCGGGAGGAUCCGGCCUAUACUUCCCGAGACCUCCGGUGCCCGCAGCGGCCUGACGGUCUCCUUGUGCUUCCGUCGCCUGUGUCUGGGAACUCCUGAGGCCUGGCCUUUGCCGCUCCUUCGCAUCUCCGGUGAACAAAGCAGAAGCUUUGAAGGGCUGCAGGCUCUCCUGCGAGUCUGGGCCUAUCCCGCUCCUAUAAUUAUGCCCACCUCCCACCUUCUCCUUGAAAGGGGUUAGACUGCACAUCCAGGGCCUCAUCUUCUCCGACUUUUCUCGGGAGGUCUGGCUCCGAACUGACUUGUCUCUGGCAGGUGAUCCCCAGUCUCCCGGUAACCUGAAACGGCUGUGGGCACUAACUGCAGCACCCCUCCGGCCCUCUUACCCCAAAGACGGAGCUAAGCCUCCAGCUAACCACCUAUCUCCGAGAGCUGAGGAGGCUUGCCGUUUGCUUGUCCCCUGAGAGUGACAGCAAAACAACCGUAAGGAAAGGCACGGCAAGAGUGCAGGCAUUUGCCACACUCCGUCCCCAGCUCAGGGCAGAGUGGGUGGGCACUCCAGCUCCCAGGUUCUCCUUGAGGAGAGAAGGAAGUGGACCGCACAUCUAGGACGACAUUUCCAGCUGCUCCUGGAAGGACUGGCUUCUACCUUGCCUGUCUCAAGAAACUGAGGCACACCUCAUCUCGGGAGGAAAAUGCUAACUAUAGAAGGAAAUGAGUCACAGUGAACUCAGAUGACUAUCCUAGGUCACAAAGCUGGUAAGAAAUGAAGCAAGGAUUUAAAUCAGACCAGCCUUGUCUGGCAUCCUCUGGGCUUUAUUGGAACUUCUGGCAACAUAGGAUAAACAAUAAAUCAAACUGCAUAUUAUUACACACAAAAGAAUAUGAGAAACUUUUUAAAGGGAUUCAAAGGAGAAAAAAUACAGCAUUGUCUUGGAAGUAGAAUGACAACAUACCAAGCGUGGGCAGUAUUUUUAACAAGAUCCAGACAAAUGAAAAGGAAGAAUAUUCAAGUUUCUAUACUUGGCUGCUCUAUUUCAUAUAUUCUGCUUGAAG
Mustela erminea (ermine) is the source of this 1401-nucleotide long non-coding RNA. RefSeq lists it as uncharacterized. NCBI's taxonomy places the organism in Eukaryota, Metazoa, Chordata, Mammalia, Carnivora, Mustelidae. The record is from RefSeq and is a predicted model, not a curated record. The transcript has 3 exons.